This 429-nucleotide ribosomal RNA is filed under the name Chloroflexota bacterium. Its description in RNAcentral is "Chloroflexi bacterium partial 16S ribosomal RNA". It matches the Rfam family "Bacterial small subunit ribosomal RNA", at positions 355 to 776 of the family's 1533-position model. The record is from RNAcentral. Lineage: Bacteria; Bacillati; Chloroflexota.
UGGGGAAUAUUGCACAAUGGGCGCAAGCCUGAUGCAGCCAUGCCGCGUGUAUGAAGAAGGCCUUCGGGUUGUAAAGUACUUUCAGCGGGGAGGAAGGGAGUAAAGUUAAUACCUUUGCUCAUUGACGUUACCCGCAGAAGAAGCACCGGCUAACUCCGUGCCAGCAGCCGCGGUAAUACGGAGGGUGCAAGCGUUAAUCGGAAUUACUGGGCGUAAAGCGCACGCAGGCGGUUUGUUAAGUCAGAUGUGAAAUCCUCGGGCUCAACCUGGGAACUGCAUCUGAUACUGGCAAGCUUGAGUCUCGUAGAGGGGGGUAGAAUUCCAGGUGUAGCGGUGAAAUGCGUAGAGAUCUGGAGGAAUACCGGUGGCGAAGGCGGCCCCCUGGACGGAGACUGACGCUCAGGUGCGAAAGCGUGGGGAGCAAACAGG